AGCUACUUUGAAAGUUUCUCCCUAACUCGUAGUUAUAGCCCUAAGAAUCUUGCUUAAUUACCUCUUUGGAUUUAUCUCUGCAGUUGCAUAAACAGGUUGCCAAAUUCAUGUCUAAUUUGAAUGCUUUGUGAUUCGCAGAUGAGAAAUCUGAGGCAGACGGAACUCUAGUAGCACGUUAAUGGCGGUUUUCACUUUAAUGCGGUUCUUCUGCUAAGGUACACCUCGCUAAUGGCCUCGUUGCUUUUGCAUAACCAUCCAUUAGUUGAUUUGCAUGAGUAUUAAUGGCUACAAAUGAAGCCAUAUUUGGAAUCACAACUCGAUAUCAUUUAUUUGGUUUUAGAGGAUAAAAAGGGGCUAAGAGCACCAUUUCUCCUGCAAAAACAAACAACAGAUACUAUUUGACUUGCGAUUUCCAUUGGAC
Molecule: long non-coding RNA, 421 nt
Organism: Cynara cardunculus var. scolymus (artichoke)
Lineage: Eukaryota; Viridiplantae; Streptophyta; Magnoliopsida; Asterales; Asteraceae
Exons: 2
Source: RefSeq, a predicted model, not a curated record